GCCAGGCACAGUGGCGUAUGCCUGUAAUCCUAGCACUUUAGGAGGCAGAGGUGGGCGGAUCGCCUGAGGUCAGGAGUUCAAGACCAGCCUGGCCAAUAUGGUGAAACCCCAUCUCUA
Molecule: unclassified non-coding RNA, 117 nt
Organism: Pongo abelii (Sumatran orangutan)
Lineage: Eukaryota; Metazoa; Chordata; Mammalia; Primates; Hominidae
Rfam family: Metazoan signal recognition particle RNA
About the family: The signal recognition particle (SRP) is a universally conserved ribonucleoprotein. It is involved in the co-translational targeting of proteins to membranes.
Source: Ensembl